AGUGGCCUGAUCCCUGUGACAUUUCCAUUGUCCAGGUGCAGUUCCAUAAGACAACAAAGUAGGCAAAAGAUCAGUCCAAACACAGACAAGAUCAAGAAUGUGACACAAACUGGUUGUCACACCUAAACCCACAGAGCUUAAAAAGAAGGCCCAGAGACAGAUGAGCUCACAGCAGCAAACAGGGAUUAGAAAGGUAACAGAUGCUUUUGAAUGCCAUUUUGAUGUAUUUAUAUGACACAAUGUUUAUCAUUUCUCACGAUGCGUAUCGUUCUACAGAAACCAUCCCUACAGAAAGCCUGAGACCGCAGCAGACCUUUACCCCGGCGUAAACAUGGGGACCUUUGUGAAGCAGCUGGCUCUGGUGGCUCUGUGUCUCUGCAUCUCAGCUCAGCUCACUAAAGUGCAGGCUGCACCAACCAAUCCACCGCCAAGCAGCCCAACAAGCAGCCCAACAAUGCCAACCGGAGGCACCAGCACAUGGCCAACCGGAGACAACAGCACAUGGCAACCCAGACCCUCCGGCACAUGGCAACCCGAAGACUGUAACUCCUGGUUCUGCAGUGGAGCGGAGCGGGUGCUGCCUGUGAGCCUGCUGCUGCUCGUGCUGGGAUCCCUCUCUCACGCACUUUACUAGUAACUGAGAUAUGACAAGAGAUUUUCAGCUUUUCUUUGCUUUUUGAUUAUUGAACUUCAGUUACUCCUAAUAAAAAUACGCGGCUGAAAUGCCAGUGGAGGGCAGCAGAGAGAAUUGAAAUAAACUGCUUUUUUUCCCCCUGAAACUUUGCACAAUAAAAUCUAUUCAAGUUUGUUUGUAUGUUUUUGAACAUAUUUUAAAUGCAAUUGGAGCAGACUGGUUAGAGAGGGCGUCUUGCUCCGAGGGAGGAAGGCACCUGGAAUCAAGCAGCAGCAUCGCUUUAAAAAGAAAACAUAAAUAAAAGUGUUAUGGCAAAUUUUGAGGGUGAUUUGCCACAGUGAGCAGCCUGGGCAGCAGCUUAAGCUUGGCGUGUACUAUUGAUUGGAAAAUGAAUGGAAUGCCCCAACUUACAGGGUAAUACAGAUAUGAUAGUUUCAUGUGGUCCAAGCACCUUGGUACUCCCAUACCUUACGUAUUGUGUUGAAGUGUGGGGGAAUACUUACAAGAACACAAUUAAUCCUCUGAUCAUAUUACAGAAAAGAGCAAUACGGAUCAUUAACACGGUUGGUUUUCUAGACCAUACUCAUAAUCUGUUUAUGC
Molecule: long non-coding RNA, 1234 nt
Filed under: Neogobius melanostomus (round goby)
Lineage: Eukaryota; Metazoa; Chordata; Actinopteri; Gobiiformes; Gobiidae
Description: lncRNA (ENSNMLG00000009289.1)
Source: RNAcentral